AUCCUGCAGUUGGACUUGAUCGUUAUGCUGGAAUCAUCAUUGGUGUAGUUGUAAUUUUGGUUGUGUUGGUCAUCAUUCGCCUCAUUGUUGCAGGUCCUAAGACAGUAUUGGCUGAAUGCGUCGAGUGCUGCAUCGAAGGCUCCAGUUUCAUCUGUGAAAAUGUCAUUGAUUCUUAGAUGGAAUGAUUGUGAACGUGUUGUCAGAAAAAAAAUGCUGUAAAUAGAUCAUAUUCAGCACCAACCACCAACCAAUUAUCUUUGCACUCGUCGAUAAGACUGCAUUGCAAUGCUAAAUGUCUGCAACAAUGUAUUUUGAUGCAUUUUGUGCAAUGAGACAUUAAUUAAUAAAGGUUAUUCAGUA
Long non-coding RNA from Fundulus heteroclitus (mummichog), 360 nucleotides. RefSeq lists it as uncharacterized. The record is from RefSeq and is a predicted model, not a curated record. The transcript is spliced from 2 exons. NCBI's taxonomy places the organism in Eukaryota, Metazoa, Chordata, Actinopteri, Cyprinodontiformes, Fundulidae.